GUGUCAGCCGCCGCGGUAAGACAGAGGGGGCAAGCGUUGCUCGGAAUCACUGGGCGUAAAGGGCGCGUAGGCGGGGCAGUAAGUCGGUCGUGAAAUCUGCGGGCUCAACCCGGAGGGGCCGGCCGAGACUGCUGCUCUUGAGGGGUGCAGAGGAGUCUGGAAUUCCCGGUGUAGCGGUGAAAUGUGUAGAGAUCGGGAGGAACACCGGUGGCGAAGGCGGGGCUCUGGGCACACCCUGACGCUGAGGCGCGAAAGCGUGGGGAGCAAACGGGAUUAGAUACCCGCGUAGUCC
RNAcentral lists this ribosomal RNA (292 nucleotides) under uncultured bacterium. RNAcentral's name for it is "partial 16S ribosomal RNA". It matches the Rfam family "Bacterial small subunit ribosomal RNA", at positions 505 to 796 of the family's 1533-position model. The record is from RNAcentral.